UGCCAGACUCCUACGGGAGGCAGCAGUGGGGAAUAUUGCACAAUGGGGGAAACCCUGAUGCAGCGACGCCGCGUGAGUGAAGAAGUACUUCGUUAUGUAAAGCUCUAUCAGCAGGGAAGAAAAUGACGGUACCUGAGUAAGAAGCCCCGGCUAACUACGUGCCAGCAGCCGCGGUAAUACGUAGGGGGCAAGCGUUAUCCGGAUUUACUGGGUGUAAAGGGAGCGUAGACGGCAGUGCAAGUCUGGAGUGAAGGGCGGGGGCUCAACCCCCGGACUGCUCUGGAAACUGUACGGCUGGAGUGCAGGAGAGGUAAGUGGAAUUCCUAGUGUAGCGGUGAAAUGCGUAGAUAUUAGGAGGAACACCAGUGGCGAAGGCGGCUUACUGGACUGUAACUGACGUUGAGGCUCGAAAGCGUGGGGAGCAAACAGGAUUAGAUACCCGAGUAC
RNAcentral lists this ribosomal RNA (447 nucleotides) under uncultured bacterium. RNAcentral's name for it is "bacterial SSU rRNA". It matches the Rfam family "Bacterial small subunit ribosomal RNA", at positions 329 to 793 of the family's 1533-position model. The record is from RNAcentral.